RNAcentral lists this ribosomal RNA (1095 nucleotides) under Triticum aestivum (bread wheat). RNAcentral describes it as "partial small subunit ribosomal RNA". Lineage: Eukaryota; Viridiplantae; Streptophyta; Magnoliopsida; Poales; Poaceae. The record is from RNAcentral.
AUGGGUUUCUCUAUCAAGAUGAACACUUCUAGACGGACACACCGCACCAAUGAAUUGAUAAAACAACAGUUUUGCUGCAACAAGUUUAAGAAACCCAAAGCUGAUGAUGGAGAAGCUGAGGCUCCUCCUUAUCUGGACCCUAUUCCAGAUCCAACAUCUGUUAACAGUGAUAAGGAGAUGGAAGAAGAACCUCCAAUAUUUGCUGAAGAGGAGGCUGGUACUAGUAAGAAGAAGAAGAAGCGCAAACGCGAGACAAUAAAGCAGACUGAAUGCAAGGCGAAAAUGUUGGUGAAGCUGAUAGAUGGGCGAUGGGAGGUGACGCACUUUGUUCAUGACCACAAUCAUCCACUCGUGAACAAACCUUCAUUGUCCAAAUACUUGAGAUCCCACCAAGGCAUCUCACCUGAUGAAAAGGAGUUUCUGUGCAUCUUGUAUAACUGCAACUUGACUACAGGACGAAUGAUGCAUGUCAUGGCAGAGUUCUAUGGAUCUGAGAUGAUGGUGCCGUUCGGACCAAAGGCAAUAACAAAUCUUUGUACAAGUUUCCGUAGAGAUGACACAAAGGAGGGUGAUCUGAUUGAGACAAUUGCGCACUUCAAGGAUAUACAAAAAACCGAUCCAGACUUCUUCUAUAAGGUGAAAUAUGAUGAAGAGGACAGAGUUGUCAACAUAUUUUGGGUGGACGGCUUAGCUCGAAAAGCUUAUGCGGAGGCGUACCACGAUUGCAUAUCGUUUGACACCACCUACAUGACCAACUUGUACAAUAUGCCGUUCGCGCCCUUCAUAGGAAUAAACCGACAUGGCCAAUCUUUCAUGCUGGGUUGCGCGUUUGUGAGGCAGGAGUUGGCAUCGAGCUUUGAUUGGGUCUUUGGAGCAUUUUUAGAGGCUGUGGAUGGCAAACCUCCUGACAACUUCAUCACCGAUCAGGAUGGUGCGAUGAGGCAGUCAAUACAGAGCAUCUUUCCAACCACCGUGCACCGUUGUUGUCGAUGGCACAUCAUGAAAAGGCUCAGGAAAAGGUUGGUUGGUUGCUGUGCCAGAAUCCAGGACUCUCUGAUGAUUUUAACAAGUGUGUUGACUUCAGCUUCACUAUAG